Tigriopus californicus is the source of this 2391-nucleotide long non-coding RNA. RefSeq lists it as uncharacterized. The record is from RefSeq and is a predicted model, not a curated record. NCBI's taxonomy places the organism in Eukaryota, Metazoa, Arthropoda, Copepoda, Harpacticoida, Harpacticidae. The transcript has 2 exons.
AAACCAAAAGUGAAACUUGGACAUUUAGUUCCAGCUUCGAAACAGCAAUGAUCAAUACGAAGGAUAUUUAGCCGGCUUUUUCUACAAUUAUUUAAGAUAGUAGUACUUCAUCCAAAUCCAUCACAAGCCAACACUCAUUAGGCACCUUGACCUAGUUUCAAGAGUUUCAGUUUAAUGAGUGCAAAUUGUCGCAAAGAAAUACUUUGUCUUAAAAGUAGGAGGAAAGAACAAAAGCAAUUAAUCUUGGGAUGGGAAUGGAUUUAAUUGAUCGCAGCUCCCAUGCCUACUAGUCACCACUCAAAAAAAAAUACUAUAGCAAUACCGCUAAUCCGGUUCUUAAUGGUAGUUUAAUCAGUCGCAAACCGCUUUCCGUCCUAAUGGAGAAAAUGAAAUUAAAUGAACGGAAGAGAAUCCACUCCAAAGCAGGCCAAUGAUUAUCUCCAAAACAGCCAGCCACCUCUUGUUGAGCAAUACUGUAUCGUGCCCCACUAAGAUUGAAGAAAUCUCAGGCCAAGAUAACGGAGCCCUGGUUUUAUUUCCGACCAAAAAGCUCGCAAUGUGCAUCAAUGUGGAGGAACAGUUGUGACGAAAUGAGCUCUCAAAGGUAGAUAAGAACUUUUUUUAUGACCUCUCUAACCCAAGCAAUGGCCUCCCCCGCUUCAUGAGUGUUUUAUUCCUAUCUAAAGGUGGAUGCACACAAAGUAUGGACUGCAAAUUACGUGCAAGACAGGUUUCCAACCAGCUCAAGGCUCCUGUGCUCUUGGAUGAAUGAAGGACGUUUCGCUGCACCCAAGAAAGAAGGUUCAUUCAGGCCAGUUGAGGCGUAGUCAUUUCAAGAUUGAGCCUCCAUGUUUUGAAUUUCACCACUUCAAACGGAGAACGUGAAUAACACAUUCAUUCAGUCAUCCUAUCCUCGCUCUCUUCAAUUCAACCAAGGACGUUUUAAGUACGGAGGUACAAGUAGUGAAAAGAUUAAGAGCCUGCGAACUAAUUUUAGAGCGGAUAUGUGUAUUUUUUCUUUUAUCUGUUGCAUGACUUAAAUUUGUCUCGCGCUUAACUUAGCUACUAUUAAAUCAAGAAGGAAAAUACCUGUGGUAACAUGAGUGGAAAACAAGAAUAAAAAAUCAUGGCACCUACAUAGAGAUAAGAUUUAUUCAAUUUUUUACUUCACCAAGCCGAUAGACCUAAAACAUUUUUUAACCAACGUUAAAGCAUUAGCGGGGAAAGUAUUUUUUGAAUAAAACUAAAUCUGGGAAGUAAUAGUAAUUGAUUUUAGCGUCACAUACAUCCUUCCCAUAUUCAUCCAAUAAUCAUUGGAAAGAAUUGUAAAUUUUUGAGCAGAUUAUCGUAAGAUACGAAAGUCAGAUAGUGAAUGAUUCACAUAAUUCAAGUGUCAAGAGUUGAAGCUUUCAUUUGAUUGUAUUGGAUCAAAAUGAUUAGGCUAAGGUAUUUGUAAUUCAGGGGCAAGAAAAAGAAUAAGAAACAUUUGUCACAAGCGUAAGGGGAAGGAUCUAUCUUUAGACUAAAGCACAAACGUGGUAUCGUGGUACACGCUACAAAGUCCAUGAACGUUUCGGUUCAAAGCAAAUUAUCAAGUCACUCAAACUUUAGUUUCAAUCGCAUGUUAAGCUUUGCAUUAAUUUAAAUCAUUAAGAUCAGACGUCCAUUUGGGCAAAAUGAUCCAUUGUUAACUUCCAGCUUUGAAGUGGAGUCGGUGUGAUUGUUUCCAAACUAAUCGAAGAAGGCCUGAAAAUCCUUGACUUUUCAUUGGAAGAUUUUAGCGUUUGAUUACAACCUCAAUCAUUUUUCUCGGUGCCGCCUAUUCCUACAUAGUAGACUAAUGUUGAACACGAGCAUAUUCGCAUCUUGGAGUUUGUUGCCAAAGCCAAAACGAAGUUGAAUUUAUGCCAACCAUGUUCCAAAUGGAGAGUGGGUGGCCACAAAGCACGAUCACUGAUCAGGGUUGGCAUCACAAUCAUCAUCAUCAUCAUUAUUAUGAUCAUCAUCAUCAUCAUCAUCAUCAUCAUCAUCCACUGGGAUUGAGGGGAAAAUUCCUUGAAGAUCGACUCUUUGCAGAACGUGACAAGUGCCAAAACUGCACAAUCAGGAUGGAUUCGGGAGCAAAUUCAUUUCGAUCCGUAACAAAAGGUGGAGAAGUUCACGUCAUACCAUCAUCUUCCGAAAAGCUGCAUCAUGCAUGAUCAAAUGAUGACUGCAUUCUCCUCUAACAUGGACCAACAUCAGCCAUAUGAGUCGAGAUAUCCAAUGCACUUCCUGUAUCCAAAUUUCAAGAGGCCGGAUCCAAAUGUCAGGCCCAUGAAGUGAUGUACAAUGAUGUUUUUAGACUGGAGCUCUACGAACAUGGUCAACUUCCGUUGUUUUUUUCUUCAA